This 497-nucleotide ribosomal RNA is filed under the name uncultured bacterium. Its description in RNAcentral is "partial 16S ribosomal RNA". It matches the Rfam family "Bacterial small subunit ribosomal RNA", at positions 28 to 507 of the family's 1533-position model. The record is from RNAcentral.
GAUGAACGCUGGCGGCGUGCCUAAUACAUGCAAGUCGAGCGAACAGACGAUGAGCUUGCUCCUCUGACGUUAGCGGCGGACGGGUGAGUAACACGUGGAUAACCUACCUAUAAGACUGGGAUAACUUCGGGAAACCGGCGCUAAUACCGGAUAAUAUAUUGAACCGCAUGGUUCAAUAGUGAAAGACGGUUUUGCUGUCACUUAUAGCUGGAUCCGCGCUGCAUUAGCUAGUUGGUAGGGUAACGGCUUACCAAGGCGACGAUGCGUAGCCGACCUGAGAGGGUGAUCGGCCACAUUGGAACUGAGACACGGUCCAGACGCCUACGGGAGGCAGCAGUAGGGAAUCCUCCGCAAUGGGCGGAAGCCUGACGGAGCAACGCCGCGUGAGUGAUGAAGGUCUUCGGAUCGUAAAACUCUGUUAUUAGGGAAGAACAAAUGUGUAAGUAACUAUGCACGUCUUGACGGUACCUGAUCAGAAAGCCACGGCUAACUACGUG